Molecule: non-coding RNA, 30 nt
Filed under: Rattus norvegicus (Norway rat)
Lineage: Eukaryota; Metazoa; Chordata; Mammalia; Rodentia; Muridae
Source: RNAcentral
UGUGGAUUAGUGUUACUCCUCUGGUUGCUU